Molecule: ribosomal RNA, 250 nt
Filed under: uncultured bacterium
Lineage: Bacteria
Description: partial 16S ribosomal RNA
Rfam family: Bacterial small subunit ribosomal RNA
Source: RNAcentral
UACGAAGGUGGCAAGCGUUACUCGGAAUUACUAGGCGUAAAGGGCAGGUAGGUGGUUUGAUAAGUCUGUCGUGUCAAUUCUCGGCUUAACCGGGAGAGGUCGACAGAUACUGUUAGACUUGAGUAUAGGAGAGGGUACUGGAAUUCCCGGUGUAGCGGUGAAAUGCGCAGAGAUCGGGAGGAACACCAAUGGCGAAAGCAGGUACCUGGACUAUUACUGACACUAAGCUGCGAAAGCUAGGGGAGCAAAC